GCACCCGUAGCUCAGCUGGAUAGAGUACCUGGCUACGAACUAGGGGGUCACAGGUUCGAAUCCUGUCGGGUGCGCCA
This 77-nucleotide transfer RNA is filed under the name Gammaproteobacteria bacterium. RNAcentral describes it as "tRNA-Arg". It matches the Rfam family "tRNA". Rfam says of the family: Transfer RNA (tRNA) molecules are approximately 80 nucleotides in length. Their secondary structure includes four short double-helical elements and three loops (D, anti-codon, and T loops). Lineage: Bacteria; Pseudomonadati; Pseudomonadota; Gammaproteobacteria. The record is from RNAcentral.